This 305-nucleotide ribosomal RNA is filed under the name uncultured bacterium. RNAcentral describes it as "bacterial SSU rRNA". It matches the Rfam family "Bacterial small subunit ribosomal RNA", at positions 333 to 655 of the family's 1533-position model. The record is from RNAcentral.
UGUGUCCUACGGGGGGCAGCAGUGGGGGAUAUUGCACAAUGGGGGGAACCCUGACGCAGCGACGCCGCGUGAGCGAUGAAGUAGUUCGGUAUGUAAAUCUCUAUCAGCAGGGAAGAAAAUGACGGUACCUGACUAAGAAGCCCCGGCUAACUACGUGCCAGCAGCCGCGGUAAUACGUAGGGGGCAAGCGUUAUCCGGAUUUACUGGGUGUAAAGGGAGCGUAGACGGCUGUGCAAGUCUGAAGUGAAAGGCAAGGGCCCAACCUUUGGACUGCUUUGGAAACUGUGCAGCUAGAGUGUCGGAGG